AUGACUAGUAACAGKKCCCCCACCCUCACCGUYCUGCCCCCCUCUAGUGAGGARCUGUCCAGUACMACAACAGCCACACUGACGUGUCUGGCCAACAAGGGCUUCCCUUCAGACUGGACCAUGAGCUGGAAAGUGGACGGGACCAGCAAGAACCAGGAGAUCAGUUCUAGGGUCCUGGAGAAGGAUGGUCUGUACAGCUGGAGCAGCACCCUGACUCUCUCUGCCCAGGAGUGGACCAAGGCAGGAGAGGUGACCUGUGAAGCCCAGCAGAAAUCCCAGACUCCAGUCACCAAGACCCUGAGGAAGGCUGACUGUUCUGAGUAGGACCCCUCAGUCACACAUCCCUGUGGA
Molecule: non-coding RNA, 351 nt
Organism: Salvelinus sp. IW2-2015
Lineage: Eukaryota; Metazoa; Chordata; Actinopteri; Salmoniformes; Salmonidae
Source: the annotation of a RefSeq genome assembly